AACGCUAGCUACAGGCUUAACACAUGCAGGUCGAGGGGCAGCACAGUGUAGCAAUACAUGGGUGGCGACCGGCGCACGGGUGCGUAACGCGUAUCCAACCUUCCCGAUACUCUUGGAUAGCCUUCCGAAAGGGAGAUUAAUACAAGAUGGUGUUUCACUUUCGCAUGUUAUCGAAACUAAAGAUUUAUCGGUAUCGGAUGGGGAUGCGUGACAUUAGGUAGAUGGCGGGGUAACGGCCCACCAUGCCUUCGAUGUCUAGGGGUUCUGAGAGGAAGGUCCCCCACACUGGAACUGAGACACGGUCCAGACUCCUACGGGAGGCAGCAGUGAGGAAUACUGGUCAAUGGGCGGAAGCCUGAACCAGCCAAGUAGCGUGAAGGAUUACAGCCCUACGGGUUUUAAACUUCUUUUAUAUAAGAGUAAUGUGCACUACGUGUAGUGUAUUGCAAGUAUUAUAUGAAUAAGCAUCGGCUAACUCCGUGCCAGCAGCCGCGGUAAUACGGAGGAUGCGAGCGUUAUCCGGAUUUAUUGGGUUUAAAGGGAGCGUAGACGGGAUGUUAAGUCAGUUGUGAAAGGCUGCGGCUCAACCGCAGCACUGCAGUUGAUACUGGCGUCCUUGAGUGCGGUUGAGGUAUGUGGAAUUCGUGGUGUAGCGGUGAAAUGCUUAGAUAUCACGAAGAACUCCGAUUG
Molecule: ribosomal RNA, 690 nt
Filed under: uncultured fecal bacterium CF17
Lineage: Bacteria; Pseudomonadati; Bacteroidota; Bacteroidia; Bacteroidales; Bacteroidaceae
Description: bacterial SSU rRNA
Rfam family: Bacterial small subunit ribosomal RNA
Source: RNAcentral